GAUGAACGCUGGCGGCGUGCCUAACACAUGCAAGUCGAACGGAGUUAUUAUUAUGAAGUUUUCGGAUGGAUUAAUAAUAACUUAGUGGUGGACGGGUGAGUAACGCGUGGGUAACCUGCCUCAUACAGGGGGAUAACAGUUGGAAACGGCUGCUAAAACCGCAUAACAUUGCGAUGUCGCAUGACAAUGCAAUUAAAUAUUUAUAGGUAUGAGAUGGGCCCGCGUCUGAUUAGCUAGUUGGUGGGGUAAUGGCCUACCAAGGCGACGAUCAGUAGCCGGCUUGAGAGAGUGACCGGCCACAUUGGGACUGAGACACGGCCCAAACUCCUACGGGAGGCAGCAGUGGGGAAUAUUGCACAAUGGGGGAAACCCUGAUGCAGCGACGCCGCGUGAGUGAAGAAGUAUUUCGGUAUGUAAAGCUCUAUCAGCAGGGAAGAAAAUGACGGUACCUGACUAAGAAGCCCCGGCUAACUACGUGCCAGCCGCCGCAGUAA
This 494-nucleotide ribosomal RNA is filed under the name uncultured bacterium. Its description in RNAcentral is "partial 16S ribosomal RNA". It matches the Rfam family "Bacterial small subunit ribosomal RNA", at positions 28 to 523 of the family's 1533-position model. The record is from RNAcentral.